GAUGAACGCUGGCGGCGUGCCUUAUACAUGCAAGUCGAGUGGGUUUAGACCCACGGCAAACGGGUGAGUAACACGUAGGUACUUUCCUUGUCACAGGAAUAACCCUCCGAAAGGAGGGCUAAUACCUGAUGUGAUCGCAAGAUUAAAGGGUAUCCGCAAGGAUUACCGGACAAGAAGAGGCCUGCGGCCUAUCAGCUAGUUGGCGGGGUAAAUGCCCACCAAGGCUAUGACGGGUAGCUGGUCUUAUGAGGAUGAUCAGUCACAUGGGCACUGAGACACGGGCCCAACUCCUACGGGAGGCAGCAGUAGGGAAUUUUGCGCAAGGGGCGAAAGCCGGACGCAGCGACGCCGCGUGCGGGAUGAAGGCCUUCGGGUCGUAAACCGCUUUUAUAAGGGACGAACUUUGACGGUACCUUAUGAAUAAGAGGUUGCUAACUCUGUG
Molecule: ribosomal RNA, 442 nt
Filed under: uncultured bacterium
Lineage: Bacteria
Description: partial 16S ribosomal RNA
Rfam family: Bacterial small subunit ribosomal RNA
Source: RNAcentral